AACGUUACUAACUAUGUAACGUCAACGUUAGGCUAGCUAUCUUAGCUAACGUUAUAUGUAUCACCCGAUUGCUAAAUUACUACCCUACUAACAAUGUUCUACGCAAGCAAAAGAUGUGCCCUCAAAUUCGUCUAGCUUCACUAGCUACUAACAUUAGUUUGCUAAAUCUAAGCGGUUGCUAAGUCGUCUGAUUACUUACUGAUCAGCCUCUGAACGAAAUCUGGCAUGAUAGAUCUGACACUAUGGAGACCUGAAUGGCACAGACUUAGCAGGAGAGGAACGACAUGCAUGCUCUCUUCUCUGCUGAGACCGAUCCAGCCCCAGCAGCGCAGGCCCAGCACUAACAGUGGUCCUCCCUACAGGCUGUCCUGUCUCACUCCCCUUUGACACCAGCUUCUGCCACAACAAAAUAGGAUUGCUCUGAAGAGUACCUGCUGGAUACAGAUUGGCCAAGCACACCUCUGCCAGCCACACCACCACUGCCCUUGACAGCUUCUCCACUGGGUCCAACAAGAGAUGAGGUUGCCUCUUCAUCUUGGAUCAUGGCUGAUGGACAGAGCCCAUUAGAGCUGCCAGUGAUGUCCUACUGGCCAAGCACCACAGGGAGGAAGAGAUCCUGAAGUGGGUGGAUCUGCUUUACUCUUAACACCAGCCCAGAGAAGCUCUUAGAGACACACAGCUGUGGCAUUAUGUUACUGCAGAGUGAAACGGUUAGUGUCACAGUCACGUCCCCUGCCACCUGCACUUACACAGCAGAAAGCCUCAUCAAUUCAAGGAUUCCAUUUGAGGAUUUUGCUGCCGCUGCCUUCUUUCAAUGGGGGCUGGAGGCCUCGAAGCAGUGGUAGGCAGUGAGGAAGGAGCAAACUGAGGAAAGAAAAUCCUCUGAGCAGCAUCCUUCCGGCCAUCUAUACAGCUGCUGCUACCAGCAGCUGAAACAAGGCCCCAACAGCCCUCACACACACAUACCAGCUUUCCAUGAGUGGCAGGAAAAUAUCUAGUGUUCUCCCUGUACCUGGCACAGGGCAUUGGCAGGAGCUCAAACAGUCUGCAUUUUAUGAGACUGAAAAGUAAAGAUGGAUGGUGGAAAAGGGGGUGUGACUACAGACACACACAAAUAAAUAAAGAGCUGAAAAUCUAUUUCCAUUGAUGGAAGUGGUUUGGACUCGUUUGAUUUGUAUUUAUUUCACAGGUACAAUUUUAGAAUAAGGCUGUAACCUAACAAAAUGUGGAAAAAGUCAAGGGGUCUGAAUACUUUCCGAAUGCACUGUAUUAUUUUUUUAGGGCUACUUUGUGUAAAUGUUGCACAAAGACCAACAUUUUAUACUAAUCACGGUGAAUAUGUCUUGUAUUAUAAACCAAUUUCUAUAAUUAUUGUGUGAAUAAGUUUGUUGUACAAAUGAUUGUGAUCCAACAUUAUCAUAACUAUGGCUUUGAUUUCAUUAAAGUCAACCUCAAAGUAAUUUUCUCUAUGAGUUGCUUUAAUGUUUUCUUUAUUAAUAACAUACAUGCAUUUCAAAUCGUGCUAUAACACUCAUAAAUAUGCCUGAUUUCAUUCAAUUAAACCACAACGUAAUCUUCAA
This is a long non-coding RNA of Salmo salar (Atlantic salmon), 1580 nucleotides long. RefSeq lists it as uncharacterized. The record is from RefSeq and is a predicted model, not a curated record. Lineage: Eukaryota; Metazoa; Chordata; Actinopteri; Salmoniformes; Salmonidae.